GAAAAAUUAGUUAAAAUAUAACCUGAGAAUGUCAAACUUAAAUAACUUACUUAUAAAGUAUUUUUCA
RNAcentral lists this transfer RNA (67 nucleotides) under Endeis sp. JZ-2022. Its description in RNAcentral is "tRNA-Asp". The record is from RNAcentral. Lineage: Eukaryota; Metazoa; Arthropoda; Pycnogonida; Pantopoda; Endeidae.